This 69-nucleotide transfer RNA is filed under the name Bos taurus (domestic cattle). It matches the Rfam family "tRNA". Rfam says of the family: Transfer RNA (tRNA) molecules are approximately 80 nucleotides in length. Their secondary structure includes four short double-helical elements and three loops (D, anti-codon, and T loops). Lineage: Eukaryota; Metazoa; Chordata; Mammalia; Artiodactyla; Bovidae. RNAcentral also lists the same sequence under 5 other names. The record is from Rfam by way of RNAcentral.
CCUGGUGGCUCAGAGGGUAAAGCGUCUGCCUGCAGUGCAGGAGACCUUGGUUCAAUCCCUGGGUCAGGA